Molecule: ribosomal RNA, 253 nt
Filed under: uncultured bacterium
Lineage: Bacteria
Description: partial 16S ribosomal RNA
Rfam family: Bacterial small subunit ribosomal RNA
Source: RNAcentral
GACGGAGGGGGCAAGCGUUGUCCGGAAUCACUGGGCGUAAAGCGCACGUAGGCGGGACGGUGCGUCGGUGCUGAAAGCGCCAGGCUUAACCUGGCGAGGCGUGCCGAUACGACCGACCUCGAGGCAGACAGAGGGUGGCGGAAUUCCGGGUGUAGUGGUGGAAUGCGUAGAGAUCCGGAGGAACACCAGUGGCGAAGGCGGCUGCCUGGGCCUGGCCUGACGCUGAGGCGCGAAAGCGUGGGGAGCAAUCCGG